Molecule: ribosomal RNA, 870 nt
Filed under: uncultured bacterium
Lineage: Bacteria
Description: bacterial SSU rRNA
Rfam family: Bacterial small subunit ribosomal RNA
Source: RNAcentral
GAUGAACGCUAGCGACAGGCCUAACACAUGCAAGUCGAGGGGCAGCACAGGUAGCAAUACUUGGUGGCGACCGGCGCACGGGUGAGUAACGCGUAUGCAACCUACCUGUAACAGGGGAAUAGCUCCCUGAAGGGGAAUUAAAACCGCAUAAGACCACACUAUCGCAUGGUAGAGUGGUAAAAUAUUUAUAGGUUACAGAUGGGCAUGCGUGACAUUAGCCAGUUGGUGAGGUAACGGCUCACCAAAGCUACGAUGUCUAGGGGUUCUGAGAGGAAGGUCCCCCACACUGGUACUGAGACACGGACCAGACUCCUACGGGAGGCAGCAGUGAGGAAUAUUGGUCAAUGGGCGCAAGCCUGAACCAGCCAUGUCGCGUGCAGGACGACGGCCCUACGGGUUGUAAACUGCUUUUGUACGGGAAGAAAUAUAUCUACGAGUAGAUAUUUGCCGGUACCGUACGAAUAAGGAUCGGCUAACUCCGUGCCAGCAGCCGCGGUAAUACGGAGGAUCCGAGCGUUAUCCGGAUUUAUUGGGUUUAAAGGGUGCGUAGGCGGAAUGGUAAGUCAGUGGUGAAAUACUGCAGCUUAACUGUAGCAUUGCCAUUGAUACUGUCAUUCUUGAGUACAGUUGAGGUAGGCGGAAUGUGGUGUGUAGCGGUGAAAUGCUUAGAUAUACCACAGAACACCGAUUGCGAAGGCAGCUUACUAAACUGACACUGACGCUGAAGCACGAAAGCGUGGGGAUCAAACAGGAUUAGAUACCCUGGUAGUCCACGCCGUAAACGAUGAUUACUGGUUGUUUGCGAUACACAGCCAAGUGACUGAGCGAAAGCAUUAAGUAAUCCACCUGGGGAGUACGUCGGCAACGAUG